GAUGAACGCUGGCGGCGUGCUUAACACAUGCAAGUCGAACGGAAAGGCCCAAGCUUGCUUGGGUACUCGAGUGGCGAACGGGUGAGUAACACGUGGGUGAUCUGCCCUGCACUUCGGGAUAAGACUGGGAAACUGGGUCUAAUACCGGAUAGGACGAUGGUUUGGAUGCCAUUGUGGAAAGUUUUUUCGGUGUGGGAUGAGCUCGCGGCCUAUCAGCUUGUUGGUGGGGUAAUGGCCUACCAAGGCGUCGACGGGUAGCCGGCCUGAGAGGGUGUACGGCCACAUUGGGACUGAGAUACGGCCCAGACUCCUACGGGGGCAGCAGUGGGGAAUAUUGCACAAUGGGCGCAAGCCUGAUGCAGCGACGCCGCGUGGGGGAUGACGGCCUUCGGGUUGUAAACUCCUUUCGCUAGGGACGAAGCGUUUUUGUGACGGUACCUGGAGAAGAAGCACCGGCUAACUACGUG
RNAcentral lists this ribosomal RNA (467 nucleotides) under uncultured bacterium. Its description in RNAcentral is "partial 16S ribosomal RNA". It matches the Rfam family "Bacterial small subunit ribosomal RNA", at positions 28 to 507 of the family's 1533-position model. The record is from RNAcentral.